AAGAUUGGACAAUGGGGGGAACCCUGAUCCAGCCAGGCCGCGCGUGUGAAGAAGGUCUUCGGUUUGUAAAGCACUUCAAGUUGGGAGGAGGGGAUGUAGGUUAAUACCCUGCAAUUUUGACGUCACCAACAGACUCAGCACCGGCUAACUUCGUGCGAGCAGCCGCGGUAAUACGAAGGGUGCAAGCGUUAAUCGGAAUUACUGGGCGUAAAGCGCGCGUAGGUGGUUCGUUAAGUUGGAAGUGAAAGCCCCGGGCUUAACCCGGGAAUUGCAUUCAAAACUGACGGGCUAGAGUACGGUAGAGGGUAGUGGAAUUUCCUGUGUAGCGGUGAAAUGCGUAGAUAUAGGGAGGAACACCAGUGGCGAAGGCGACCCCCUGGGCUAAUACUGACACUGAGGUGCGAAAGCGUGGGGAGCAAACAGG
Molecule: ribosomal RNA, 424 nt
Filed under: uncultured bacterium
Lineage: Bacteria
Description: partial 16S ribosomal RNA
Rfam family: Bacterial small subunit ribosomal RNA
Source: RNAcentral